CCCAAUAUUAGCUGUGCUGCUUC
RNAcentral lists this microRNA (23 nucleotides) under Salmo salar (Atlantic salmon). Its description in RNAcentral is "ssa-miR-16c-3p". Its record names the gene ssa-miR-16b-3p. The record is from miRBase by way of RNAcentral. Lineage: Eukaryota; Metazoa; Chordata; Actinopteri; Salmoniformes; Salmonidae.